Molecule: ribosomal RNA, 107 nt
Filed under: Papio anubis (olive baboon)
Lineage: Eukaryota; Metazoa; Chordata; Mammalia; Primates; Cercopithecidae
Also listed under: 1 other name
Source: RNAcentral
GAGUACAGCCACACCACUCUGAACACGCCCGCUCUUCUCUGAUCUCAGAAGCUAAGCAGGGUCGGGCCUGGUUAGUACUUGGAUGGGAGGAAUAGAUCUUGAGUUUU